This 21018-nucleotide long non-coding RNA is filed under the name Gossypium barbadense (sea-island cotton). Its description in RNAcentral is "long non-coding RNA (GBAR_LNC009884)". The record is from RNAcentral. Lineage: Eukaryota; Viridiplantae; Streptophyta; Magnoliopsida; Malvales; Malvaceae.
UGCCAUACCAGCGGUGCUUCAAGAGAGCAUGAUUAACUCAAGCCCACCAGAAAAGGUAUUUCGUCUAAAAGGUGCUGACCACUCACCAUUUUUCUCAAAGCCUCAAGCCUUGCACAAACUAUUUGUAGAGAUCUCGAAACUCCCUUCACCUUGAGAGAUUCUAAUUGUCGGAUGUUUCAUGGGAGUCCCCCACUAGGGCAUCAUUUGAUGAGGUAUAGGGAAGUUAUCCUCUCGAAUUUGAGUGAACAUGCAGAUGCACAUACACAUACCGUAAAGAUGGUCUUUACUGCUUGACCGCUAGAUGGCUUAGACAUUUUGCAUCAGAGCACGGAGUAUGUUGAUAUCGCUUUCCUCGGUCCUUUUUUGUUUUUGGUUUUCCUUUCAUGAGAUAUUCAUAUUUAUGCUAGCGAAAGAAUUAACACUUCAGGGUUGCACAUAAAGCAGUAUCAGCCAUUCUUUCUGUUUGUUGAACCAAUUUCUCAUGUAACAUAUGCGUCUGAGCUUAAAGAUUGUUGGAUUACUGAAAUAAAAGGUUGAUAAUUUAUUACGAGAUUGAAUAUCCGUAAUAGAAACACAUUAAAAGUAUUGUUAUUAGGAUAAUAGAUAUUAUUAAUUAGUGUUUGAUCAUUGUAGUUGCCUCAUAACAAGUGCUGUGUAGAUACCAUCCUGUGUGAGAAGCUGUUCAUGAGUGCCACUCUCUGCUAUCUGACCAUCACAAAUAACGGCUACAUUGUUCGCAUUUUUUACUGUUGACAGCCUAUGUGCUAUGAUUAGAACAGUCCUACCAUUCAUCAAUGAAUCCAUAGCUUCCUAUCAAGCACCAUCACAUAAAUUAAAUUAAUAGUGAACCAGGCCUACAGGCCGAGGCAAGCUGAAAAUGAGCCAAUCUGCCCAACCCGGAGACAGGUUUAUGAAAAGCAGCUCAGAGUCUGACCUGAACUAGGUAUUCACUCUCAGCAUCAAUAGCACUUGUGGCUUCAUCCAAAAGCAAUACACUGGGAUUCAUUAACAGUGAUCUUGCAAUCGCUAGUCUUUGUUUUUGACCUCCUGACGGCCUCAAACCCCGUUCUCCCACAACUGUUUCAAAUUUCUCAGGAAAUUUUUCAAUGAAUCCAUGGGCAUUCGCCAUUUUGCUGCACCCAUCUUAUAUGCACACGUAUUUUUUUUAAAAAAAAAUGAAUCUACUACUGUUUCAUUUAUCAUUGGUAAAAAGGAUUAUAAUCAUCAACUUACAACCACAUAUUGUAUCUCAGUUUUGCCGACUUUGCCAUUGACUCCAUACCCAAUGUUCUCCUCUAUGGAACAAUUGAAAAGAACUGGUUCCUGGCUAACUACGCUAACCUGUAUUUAGCAAAACAAGACCAACAAUAAAGGUCUGAAAAUAUAACACCUAAAGUAUAAACACGAGAAAAUGAGUGGAGUUUUGUAUGGAAGGCAUAUAAACAUUGAGAAAGAUCAGCAAAAAGGACUCCACCUUUCUAUGAAGAUAUUGAUGUGAUAUUUCCAGUAAAGAAACCCCAUUUAACAAAAUCUUUUCCUUGAGAGGAUCGUAAAACCUUUCGAUUAAGUUUGCUAUUGUCGUCUGCAAUAGAUUGGAGAUUCAUGUUGGUGUUUGAAACAAUGUUAAGCAAGCAGAGUCGAAAGCUUGUGUUCCAAGCCUCGUGACUUGGUGAAGAAACAAAAGUAGAAAUUUGCUUGAGAACAAGAACCGAAUUGAAAGCAAGAAAAAUGGAGCAUAAAAAUGAAUGAAAUCUGAUAAUUUUCAUUAACAAGAAACAUUGGCAUAUAGCCAUUACAUAUAUCAGUCAUUAACUGAUCAAAACAAGACAAACUUCACCUAAUGCUUACCUAAUACCACUAAUUACGUGAAAACUAGGAAAAAUAACUUGUACACAUAAACAAAGCUGAUUUAUCAGCUCAAUCACCACCUAAUUACAUCAAUCAUGAAUCAAACAUGAAUCAAACAUAGUUCUAAAUGAACUAGAACUUCAUUACAUCAACUAAGGUAACAAAAUGAAACAAAAUGGAACUUGAUGGCAGAAGUUGCAUUCGAUUCUGCUGCUCCUGCAUGAUUUGGUGUGCAUGGCCAGCUUCUUGGUGCUGCAUGCUGACCAAUUCUUUAACACUCCUCCUUAGUUGGCAUGCUGCUGACUCCAAGUUCUUUUCUAAGCUUGAUGAACCUAGACGCAUUAAGGGCCUUUGUAAAAAUGUCAGCAAUUUGAUCUUCUGAAUUGCAAUGAAUCAACUUUAUCUCUCGAGCUUGUUCCAUCUCUCUUACCACAUGCAACUUGAUGCAUAAAUGCUUGAUUCUACCAUGGAAGACAGGGUUCUUUGCAAUUGCAACAGCAGAUUUGUUAUCACAAAAGAUCUCUGUUGCUUCCUUUUGAUGCAGGUUCAAGUCAGCUAAAAUCUUCUUUAGCCAAAUGGCUUGAUUAACAGCUUGGCAGUGGCAACAUAUUCAACUUCUGCUGUUGACUGUGCAACUAUCGAUUACUUCUUAGAACUCCAGCAAAACAUAGCUGAACCAAGGGUAAAAGCAUACCCUAAGGUACUCUUCACAUCAUCUUUUGAACCAGCCCAGUCACUGUCCGUGUAGCCUAUCAGUUUCAGAUCUUUACUUCUACUGAAUUUGAGUCCAUAGCUUAAGGUACCAUUGAUGUACCUGAGUACUCUUUUUGCUGCUUGAUAAUGCUGCUUGUUGCAGCAAUGCAUGAACCUCAAUAGCAUACUCACAACAAACAUAAUAUCUGGUCUUGUUGCUGUUAAAUACAAUAGGCAACCAACAAGACUUCUAUAAUCAGACUCACUCACUUGCUCAUAGUCUUCUUGACUUGAUAGCUUCAUUCCAACAGCCAUAGGUGUGCUUGUUGGUUUGCAAUUCUCCAUAGAGAACUUGCUUAAGAUCUUUGCAGCAAAUGUUUUUUGUCCCAAGAAGAUUCCUCUUUGAGUUUGUUGCACCUCCAUUCCAAGAAAGUAAGUCAUCUGUCCCAGGUCAGACAUUUCAAACAUGUCCUUCAUUUUGGCCUUGAAGUCAGCCAAUAUGAUUUGGUUUCCUCUUGUCACCAGAAGAUCAUCAACAUAUAGGAACACAAUGAGCUGUGUUUCAGCUUGUUUCUUCUUGACAUACAGAGUUGGCUCACUGAUGCUUCUCUCGAAUCCCAAACUAACCAAGUAGCUGUCAAUUCUUGCAUACCAAGCUCUAGGAGCUUGUUUUAGGCCAUACAAGGCUUUUUUAAGCUUGUAUACAAUGUCCUCUUUUCCAGACACAACAAAGUCUUGGGGCCGAUCAAUGUAGAUUUCUUCUUCAAGGAAGCCAUUGAGAAAUGUAGACUUUACAUCCAAUUGAUGAAUGAUUUAUUGCCUUUGUGCAGCUAAAGCAACUAGCAACCUGAUUGUGUCUAGCCUGGCUACUGGUGCAAAAGUCUCCAUGUAGUCCAGGCCAUAUCUUUGACUGAACCCCUUGACAACAAGCCUAGCUUUCAGCUUGUUCAAAUUGCCAUCAGCAUUUUGUUUGGCUCGAUAGACCCAUUUAACACCAAUGGUCUUUCUGUUGGCAGGCUUUUCUACUAGCUCCCAUGUCUGAUUCUUUUGAAUCAUCUUGAUUUCAUUAACCAUGGCUUGCUUCCAACCUUCAUAUGCUUGAGCUUCUUCAAAGCAGCUAGGUUCUUCUUGUGCAACAUGAGCCCUCUCAUAAAUCUCAGUCAGAGUCCUUGUACCCUUGACAGGUUCAUCAUCAAUGUCCAUAUCAAGACCAUUUUAAUCAGAUUCAAGCUGAUCUGAUAUAAGUUCUUCAAGAAUGGCCUCAGGUUCAUUUCUUUCCCAAUUCCAGUAUGCUUUCUCAUCAAACACCACAUCCCUGCUCACUUGGACUUUAUUUGUUGAAGGAUCCAAGAUCCUAUAACCCUUUUUGACUGAACUGUAGCCUACCAGAAUACCAGGUUUGGCCCUUUUUGACAACUUGUCCUUCUUCACAGUUGGUACAUGGCUGUAACAUAGGCAAUCAAAGACCUUCAAAUGAGCCAAUGAUGGCUUAAGCCUGAACCAUACCUCAAAUGGAGUUUUAUGAGCCAAUGCUUUGGUUGGUAGCCUGUUCUGAAGGUAUACAGCAGUGUUAACUGCUUCAUUCCACAUGGUCUUGGGCAAAUUUUUUUGAAAUAGAAGGCACCUGGCCAUAUCCAUAAGACUUCUAUUUUUCCUUUCACUGACCCCAUUCUGCUGAGGUGUAUAAACAUUGGUUAGCUGAUGUUUGACACCAUCAUCAUUGCAUAGAGCUUGGAACUGAGCUGAGGUAUACUCAGCUCCAUUAUCUGACCUGAUGGUCUUCAAUUUACAGCCUGUUUCUAUUUCAGCUGCAGCUUUGAACUUCAUAAAACUUGAGCUACCUCAGACUUGUGCUUCAAAAAUUAAAUCCAGCAAUAUCUGGUAUGAUCAUCAAUAAAUAGAAUGAAAUACUUACUUUCAUUCAGUGAUUCUGACUUCAUGGGACCACAUACAUCAGUGUGAACCAACUGCAAUCUUUCAGUGGCUCUCUAGGCCUUGUUGGUUGGGAAUGGAAGUCUAGCCUAUUUUCCAAGUUGACAAACCUCACAAACGUCAUUAUGUUCAACCUAAUUGGUGAAGUUUUCAACCAAUUUUUCACUGGCCAUUCGAGUCAAUGCCCUGAAGUUGGCAUGACCAAGCCUUUGAUGCUAGAGCUUGGAUUCUUCAGUAGCAGCAACACAAGCUGAAUGUGUGUCACUUGGCCAGUUAACUUCAAAGUAUUUAUCAGUCAUACUGACUUUCAUAAAGUUUGAUCCAUUUGAAUUAGCAAUUUGGCACUGCUGGCCCUUGAACACAACAGAAUAGCCCUUUUCAAGCAGUUGGGAAAUGUUGAGAAGGUUUCUGUCAAUCUCAGGCACCAGCAGCAUAUUUUUGAUGACUUUGUCUCCUGUGGGAGUGCAUAUUAGCACAUCUCCCUUUCCUUCAGCCUUGAUGAACUGACCAUUUCCAAUUUUCACUUUGGUUUUACAAGAUUUGUCCAAAGUUUUGGAAAUGUUUGCAUCUGGUGACAUACGGUUGGUGCAGCCACUGUCUAGUAACCACCCUUUUGAACCCUUGCUCUGACCAGGUAAGCAUGACACAGCAAAGACCUGCUCUUCAUGGUCACUGCUGUCUUCAGCCACUCGAGCUUCAACAUCCUUGUGUUGUGCUUUGUUUUGUCCAGGUCUGCCUUUUUCUUUACAGACCCUUUCAACAUGGCCCUUCUUCUUGCAAUGUUGACACAAGACAUCUGGUCUGAACCAGCAUUUGGCCUUUGGAUGACCAGGCCUUUUACAAAAUCUGCAGAGUUGGUCUCCCAUUCUUGCAGCAUCAGACUUAGGCCUGCUUCUCCAGUUCUUCUUGCCUUUAUAGGCUGAGGUGCUCGAGGCUACUUUGGCCUUGGCUUGGAAAGCACCCUCCUAGUGCUCUUCCAUCCUGCUAGCUUUCCUUUGUUCCUGAACAUAGAAGGCAUUAAUAAGCUCAGUUAGAGAGACGCUUGCGAGAUCUUUCGAAUCCUCCAGGGAUGAGAUUUUUUGCCUCAUAUCUUUCAGGCAAUGUUGAGAGCACCUUUUCCACAAUCCUUGCCUCACUGAACUGUACUCCUAGCAACUUUAUGCUGUUUACAACAGCCAUGAUUCUAUCCGAGUACUGCUUCACUGUCUCUUCCUCCUUCAUUUUCAAAUUUUCAAAAUCUCUCUUUAAAUUCAACAACUGCUGCUGCCUUGUCCUUUCUGUGCCUUAAAACUCCUCCUUAAGCUUGUCUAAGGCCUAUUUUAGAGUCUCACAGGCCAUGAUUCUGGUGAAAAUUACAUCAGACACACAGUUUUGAAUACAAGACAUAGCCUUAUGCCUUUUGGUCCUCUCAUCUGCAUGCUGUUUAAUUUGAGCCACUGUAGGGUUGGCUCUGAGUGGAGCUGGCUCAGCAUCAGUGUUGACAACUUCCCAUAGAUCAAAGGUCUGCAGGUAAGUCCUCAUCUUGACAACCUAUAUGUGGAACCCUUCACCAUUAAAGACUGGUGGUGCUGUAGGAGAGAAGCCUGAUGAAGCCAUUCAGUUUAAGAUUCAACUACAACAGGUCCUCUAAGAUGGAAGUUCUAGAUACCAAUUGUUGGUGUUUGAAACAAUGUUAAGCAAGCAGAGCCAAAAGCUUGUGUUCCAAGCCUCGUGACUUGGUGAAGAAACAAAAGUAGAAAUUUGCUUGAGAACAAGAACCGAAUUGAAAGCUGUAAUGACCCAAAAUUCACGGGCAUCGGAAAAGUACAUUAACAGGCCUCUGUCUUAGUAAAUCGAGUUCGAAAUAAUUACUAGAAAUAUUUAUGAGUUUAGCGAUGUGUUUAAUUAGGUUUAAAUUAGGUGAAUUUAGCUUAAUUAAGAGUAAUUAGGAAGAAUGACUAAAUUGAAUAAAGGAUGAAAGUUAAAUUGUAGAUUAAAAGAAAAUGAAGAGGACCAAAAUGGCAAUUAUGCCAUUUGUCCUAAGUGAGGCGGCAUAAACAUAAAAAUCUGAGAUUUUUAUGUUUUAAAAUAUAUAUUAAAUUAUUAUUAUUAAAAGUAAAGUAAAUAAAAAGGAAAUAAAGGAAAGAAACAAAAGAAUAAAAAGAAGGAAGGAAACAGAAUAGCAGGAAACGAAACAAAGAAGAAACAGGGGAGAAAGAAAGAAAGAAAAGAAAAAGGGAAAAUAGGGUUUUUGAAGCUUGGAGUUUAAUUGGUAAGUUCAAUCAUGUCCUUUUCUCUUAAUUUUGAUGUUCUAAAAGUAUUAAAACAAGGUUUUGAUAGAACUAAGUUAGUAGUUUAGAAGUUUUUAAGUUUUUAAACAAAGUUCAUGUUGAACAAAAUGAUGAAAUAGGGGUUUAAUUGAAUGAAAUUAAGUUAGAAUAGAGAUUGAAAUGUAAAGUAAACUUUAAGUUAUGUGUUUUAGGGAUUAAAUGGAAAUAAAUUCGAAAUUAUGAAAAUAUGCUGGAAAUUUAAUAGUUAAGUAUGAGUUUGGACAAAAUUUGAAUAGAAAUAAAGUAUGAAUUAAGAUAGAAAAGUAAGUGAAUUUAGUUAGGAUUAAAUUGAAAUUAAAGUAAAUCAACAUUUUGUACUAAGACUAUUUUGGACAGCAGCAGUAGUCUAAGUUUGAAAAAUCACCAAAAAUUGUAGAAAUUAAAUUAUAGGAUGAAUAAAAUAUGGAAUUAAAUCUUAUUGAGUCUAGUUUCUUAUAGAAGAAACGAUAUAAGCAAUUGAAUUGUAAAUUAAGAGAUAUAAUGAAUUUUGUGAGACAAGGUCAGAAUAAAUUCGGGUUCCCAUGUUCUAACUUUGAAAAAUCAUUAGAAAUUGUAUAAAACUAAUUAUAGGUUGGAAUUUAUAUGUUUAAAAUACUUAUUGAACCUAUUUUCAAGAUAAUUAAACGGGAACAUCGUUCGAAUCUUGUAAAAGGAGAUAAUCAAUUUUUAGUGAAAAAUGGUCAGAACUGUUUGACAGCAGAACAGGGGCAAUUUUAAAGAAUAAACUGUACUUAUUGGCUUAACCAAAAAUUCUAAAAAUUUCAUGGUAAGAAAAUAUGUGAGUCUAGUUUCAGGGAAAAUUAGUGGAUCUUAAUUUGGAGUUUCCUAGCUCAAGAUAUAAAUGAUUUAGUAACAAUGACUCAAGUAGACAGCUUUGAAUGAACAUAUAAGUAAAUAGUGGAAUUAUGUGUAUAAAAAUGGUUAAAUUUGCAUGUUUAGGCUCAUGGAUUAAAUUGAAUUGUGUUAUAUUGAUGAUUAUAAAUUAUUAUUAUUUUCGUAGUUAACAAAGAACCCAAGACAUCGGCGUACAAAGGAAAGGAGAAAGCUGUCGAGGAUUAAAACGAGAAAUUUACGGUUUGUAUUACUAUAAUUCAAAUUACUUUUUAUUAAAUGUUUUAUAUCAAUUCUAUAUUUAAUAAGUGAAUUAUAAGGUAAGUAUUGAUAUUUGAGUUGAAUGAGAAUUGAAUUGGAUAGUGAAUGUGUAUGUAUAAUUGAAUUGUAAAUUGAAUUGAAUGUGAAAAUUUUAAUUGAAAAGUAAUCUUGGAAUGGAAAUGAAAGUGAAUUGAGAAUUGAAAUACCCUAUUAACUAGUCGGGCUAAGUCGGAUAUAAUUGGCAUGCCAUAGGAUCUGGAAGUGUACGGGAAUUUGCCGGCUUUACUGAUCAGGCACUUUAUGUGUCGUAUUUCAGGCACCUCGUGUGUCGUAUCAGGCACCUCGUGUGUCGUUUUAGGCACUUUAUGUGUCGUAUACUGAUCAGGUACUAUGUACCGUUUUAGGCACAAUGUGCCGUACUGGUGUGUUGGGUUGGAAUCCGUGUAUCCGUCAAAGUCCGGAUUUGUUAAUAGGGUGAAUAUCUAAAAUGAGAAAUUAAAAUAAAUUGAUUGAUUAUAUUAUUGAAAUAUUGAAAGAAACGAAAAAGUUGAAUAGUGGAUUGAAAUUGAGAUUGAAAAUGAAAGGCAUGAACUUAAUGUUCAUGUAGUGAUUGAAAUUGUUACAUGUAAUAUGUGAUGGAAACUGAAGAAUAGAUAAAAAUUGUAUCGUUAUUAUUAAUUAAUGAAAGUUUAAGAAUGAAUUGAUAUUUGUGAAAUUAGAUAGUUAUAUGUUUGGUAAUUAAAAUUCUUUAUUGCUAUUAUAAUUUGAAUUAUGGUAAUACCGCUGAGUACGGAAUACUCAGCGUGCGGUUGUUUCUGUGCGCAGGUUAAUAGGAGUCUAGUAUCCCGGUCCAGCAUCUGAACGAUCCCGACUCCAGCAAAUUUUGGGUGAUGUUUUCUUUCUUAAUUGAAAGUGGCAUGUACUAGGUGUUGUAUAAGUUAUAUAGAUAUACUUGUAAAGUUGGUUAUAAGAAUGGUAUACCAUAUUUUGUUAUUCGUUUGAUAAAAUGGUAAAUAUUAUACUAUAUAAUUUGGUAUAAGUUGGAAUGAAAAAUGAAUGAAAUUAUUAGUUAAUUUGGAUUAAUAUUAUGAAUGUUUAGUUAUUAAAUGACUAUGUUAAUGAAUUGGUUAUGAUUUAGAUAUAUUUAGGUUUAAAUUGUUUUUGAUUGUGCCAUUGGUUUUGGAUUAGUUGGUUUUUGGUUUGAAUUUGCAGGGGGUUUUAUGUAAAAAUUAAGAAGAAAUGCUGUCGAAAUUUUUGUAAAAAUAAAAAAAAUCUCUGAAUACUCGAACAAGUCCCGUUCCAUUCCACUUUAAUACUUGUGUUGGGCUUCGAAAGUCCAUUAUAGGGACAUAAUUCUUCAAUUAUACUAUGAAUGUUAUAAUAAUUGUAAAAUAUCCAUAAGUUGUCUAAUAUAUCCGGUAAUGCCUCGUAGCCCUGUCCCGGCGACGGUUUGGGGUUAGGGGGUGUUACAAAAGCAAGAAAAAUGGAGCAUAAAAAUGAAUGAAAUCUGAUAAUUUUCAUUAACAAGAAACAUUGGCAUAUAGCCAUUACAUAUAUCAGUCAUUAACUGAUCAAAACAAGACAAACAUCACCUAAUGCUUACCUAAUACCACUAAUUACAUGGAAACUAGGAAAAAUAACUUGUACACAUAAACAAAGCUGAUUUAUCAACUCAAUCACCACCUAAUUACAUCAAUCAUGAAUCAAACAUAGUUCUAAAUGAACUAGAACUUCAUUACAUCAACUAAGGUAACAAAAUGAAACAAAAUGGAACUUGAUGGCAGAAGUUGCAUUCGAUUCUGCUGCUCCUGCAUGAUUUGGUGUGCAUGGCCAGCUUCUUGGUGCUGCAUAACAAUUCAGCUUUCAGUAAUUUGUUAGUCCAAGAAGUGUCAAGGAAGGAAAAGGGGAUGGCAAUAUUUACUUUUCCACCACCACUGGGUCCAACAAGGGCAACUUUUGAGCCAGGCUUUAGUUUCGUAGUUAUUCCCUGCAGUUCCAUUCAGAUUUUACAUUAUCUAGUGAAUGUAUGCAUUGUUGUUACUUAAAUAUAGUAAAUCUAUUAUUAUCAGUUAAAGCUUGAUAAUUGGUACUUCAAUUCAAUACAACAUCAGAUCUUUCUAGCUCGAAUAUUCAUUAGAUUAUGCAUUCAUUGCUCUAAUCGGCUUUUGGAUAGCACUUUUCUUCUAACCUUGCACGUGAGGUACACAUUAAAAUAAUUUGAAACUUAGUCUAUUUUCUAAACUUUUUUUUUUAUUUGAUAAAAAACCGACAAAAGAUUCAGAAUUUGCUAUUAGAACAUUUUGAUUUUGCCCUUGUUUUAAUUUUGAUAUUCUUCAAGUCUUAAAAGGAAGGAGCUAACUGAACAAAAUCAAAAACCAUUGAAUCAAUGCACAAUAUUGAGGCAAAACAUGGGUUAGUUUGCUAGAGUAGAAUAUGUUCUAUUAAACUCCUUUUUUUGUGUGUCUGUGCGUGUGUAACGGUAUAUGAUAUUCUUUAAAUUCAUUUGUGUAGCAGAGAAACCAUUACCUUAAGUACCAUAUGACUUGGCCGAGAAGGAUAAGCAAACCAGACAUCAUCCAAUUCUACAUCUCCAUCUGGAUUUCUGCCAUUCACAGCAUAACAUGUUUAUUUAACAUGAUGGUCCAUUGGGUUAACUUGCAUGACAUAAAUAAAGUUUAAGCCUCUUUUUAGCAUUUCUCAUACAAUGUUGUGUUACAGCCUGCCAUAGGUGUAAACUAGUGGAAUUUAAAUUUAAUGAAAUUGUAAUUUGACUAACCCCACUGUGUUACAGCCUGCCAUAGGUGUAAACUAGUGGAAUUUAAAUUUAAUGAAAUUGUAAUUUGACUAACCCCACUGGACACUUAUCUCCUGGUUUUGGCAUGCCUGAGACACGAUCUAAUAGCUGGAAAACCCUCCUACUUGACCCUGCAGCUUUCAUGGCAGAUACAUAUGAUCCUGAUAAUGAGGACACUGAGGAUCCAACUGCAGGUAAAUAGAAGAUUGUUUAUCACAAACAUGUCAUGCAAAUAACUGUUAAUAUGUUCCGACCAAAGUUGCAGAUCGAACAUAAGAGUUGUCUGGAACUUGUAUAGUACCUGUGAGACUAUAAAGGAUGAAAGAUGUAAGAGAACCAGCGGUCAUGGAUCCAGUUAUUGUCAAGUAGGCUCCAUAGCUCACCACUAUAAAAAUUGACAGUUUGGAUGCAGCGUUCUGUCCUCCAAAGUACAGACCAACUACUUUCUGUUGUAGAAAACAGGAGUGAAGACUUAAGCUAAACAUCUAUGCAGAGAUUUAAGUUGCAGUCGAACUGCGUUCGUGAUUUAACGAAUACAAUUGCAACUAACUAAAUUGAAUAUCAUUGAUGUAAAGAGAUAAAACCACAAAAAUAACAAUUGUAAUAUCGUGUUCCGGCCAUCUGUGUGUGGUUGAGAGAUAGAAAGGACACUCACAGCUCGUUUGAGUCCAAUCUUCAGUCUUUCAUCAACCUUCUCGGAGUACUUGGAGACUGCAUAGCCUUCUUGAGCAAAAGAUCUAAUUGUUCGAAUAGCUCCAAAAGAUUCCUAAACGUCAAGCGGUUUGUCAUGAAGGACAGAAUUUUCAAAGCUUUUCAGUUUUGAAGCACGUUACAGUUCUUACAAACCUCAGCAACCGAGGCAGCCACUGCAGCUGCAGCUUGUAUUGUGUGUGAAAGUUGUUUGAGAUAUCGUCUGAAUCUACGCAUGGUGACUGCGGUAACCGGAACUACCACCAAGGAUAGCACUGAACACAAAUAAUAGCAAUUGUGACUGCUAUAACUCUCAACAUUAAUGAAAACUUGUUAAGCAAGCAAAACCAGAGAACAUACAUGUCAGCUUCCAUGAUGAUGAAAACAUGAAGCCAAUGCCAAUAAUGGCACUUGUUAGAUUCCGAAGUGCCUCUGAAAGAUUGGAUGUUGCUGCAGUUUUAAUGAUCUGUGUGUCCGCAGAUAGCCUGCUGAGGAGUUCGCCUGUUGAAGUAACAUCGAAAAAGGCUAUUUCCUGUUGCAGAAUUUUAGGAUAAAAACUGCUGAAAUAUUGAGUGCUGGGCAAAGGGUAUUAAGAAAGAACAGCCGAAUAACUUGCAGACCAUGGACACCGGCACUCAACUUGCGAGAAAUUAUCCGCUUUGACUAGAAAACCUCACAUUUUUGUCCUUUACAAGUAUGGGCAUAAGUCUCUACAUAUAUCUGACAUGAUAGGCCUUACCUGAUGGAUAAGGUGAGUGAACAACUUAAGCCUUAGUCUAGCAACAAUCCUUUCACCAGUAGAAGAAAACAACCAUGCUUGAACUGCUCUGCAUAUAGACCUAAAUAGGAUGGGUAAAAGAAGAACCUUAAGAUUCGAUUUAUUCAUUUUAACAAGUUAAAAAUCAACUAAUAUCGGCUCAACCAACUACUACAGAGUCAAGACUAAAUCCAUUCUAUUUAAGCUAUCAAUUAGUAUUCUCCUGUUGGUACUAAUCUUCAAUUAGAUUUUAUAUCAUGUUGUUUGAAAUUUUUGUUUUUCUAUAUUUGUUCCCUAUACACAUUUGGAUAUAGCAUGGGGUAUGAUCUUUCAAGGACCCUUAAAUAUAAAAUCCUUCAAAAGAUCGAAUAUUUUCGUUUUGGAUUCAUAUUCAUAUCCAACACUUGCAUUAUUAAAGUUCGAGUAACAUAGGUUAAUAUUGUACUGCUCUGUUCUAUAAAAUGCCGUAACUUGCAUAGAAUAGGCUUUUGAAGCCCAAACCCGUUCUUUAUCUUCACUUAAAAAUAGCAAUUUUGAUGAAGUAAAGCAUGCAUUUGACAUCCAUCUCAAAAGUUCAAAAUUUUACUUGUAAAAUAUGGAUCCCAUGUUGAAGCAUGAUAGAUACCCAGAUUUGGUUCUUACCAGCUCUCUGAUCUUUCUAAAGGUAUCAAUACUAUUGAAAGGAACCCCGAAUGGUUUUUACUUGCAAAGUACAGUCUUUAGCAUAGACCAAGAAAGGAGCACUGCCUUGUGAAGCAUUUCAACAAAAAAGUGUGUAUAAAAGGAAAAUGUGAAAGGGAAAGUUACCCUAUUACAAUUAUCAGAAGAAUAUGUUACGGUGUUUUUGAUGGCAUCCAAAGCUUGUGAUUGCUGUUGUGGGGUCUUUAUUUCUCUUGAUACGAUGUCUAUAAUCAUUCCACCAUAUUUAGGCUGCAAGAUAAUUACAUAAGCUUCUGACUUGUUAUCCAGUUUCUCAUCUUGUAAUUCAUUAACAUAGGGAAAGAAAGGAACAACAUACAAUCAAGAAACCCGAUGCAGAUGCUAUAAGCUUCCCAGCAUCUGGUUUUGCCUACAAAUUGCAGCCAACUCAAUAGGUACUAUGCAAAGAGAAUAAUGAAAAAACAUAUUUCUGACUAACCAGUGAAAAUACUCUGGACAAUCCAACAUUGGCUGCCUGAAAAUGUUCCACAUAAAAGAUUUAAGUAAAUAAAGCCUGCUUCACAGCUGGGAAAUAAAAAUAUGGAACAAAUAUCCAUCACCUCAACACCAAUGUCAUGCUCAGGAUUUGAUAUGGGGCAGUUUGAUGAUUGGUUAUCAUUUGCCUGCAUAAAUGGAACUGUAUUUAUAACAUUGUACUAUACAAAAUCACCUUCUAAUCUUUAAUUAGUAUACGAUAUGCUCAUGCAUUGAAACAUAUAUAUAUAUAUAUAUAUUUUUUUUUUUAAAAUGUAGUAAAAACAAGAAACAAACUCAAGUAGAAUGUUGAAAAAUAAAAUCCUAGAAAAACAUGAUACAAAUCCAAACAAAUUUCCUUGUACAAAAGGGGGGACUCUUUCACUGCCUGGAGGAGAAUGCAACUUCUGUUUCUUCCCCAUUUGAAAAUAAAAAUUCAAAAUUGAUAAACAAAUGCAACAAUGGAAAUUGCUUCUGCAGUAUUUCAUGGGAUUAUAAACAAAGAAGGGGAAAUUGUUAUUUUUUAUUUGGUACAUUGUUGGCUUUAUGGCAUGUUUCAUGAGGCCUUCUACAUCAAUAAACUAGGAAAAAAAACUGCAAUCAAUUCUUUUUUUUUUUUUAUGAUUCUAGUCGAAAAAAAAAAGGGGAUUUUAUUAUGUAAAAAAGGUUUUUUUUAGUAAUCUUCAUCUCUACUAUUUUUAAAGUUAUGUCUAUAAUUAUUUAUAGUGCUUCUCUAACAUUUAAAUAAGAAUAUAAUACAUUUCAGCACAUUUAAAUUUACGUCCUCUUCUACUAACAACAGUAUUCAUACCAAUCAAGUUAAGACUCAACCCAAAAAGAAAAAAAUUAAUUAAUUUAUUAUUAUUUGAAAUGGUAAGGAUUUAAAAGAAUAAUAUUUAAUAACUUGUUGUGUUUAAUGCUUGUUUUAGAGGAAAGGUAAGGUGAUGAGCAUGAAUCAUCUUUGUCUUGGAUUGCUGACCUUUUGUUAGUGAUGUAUAUAAUAAAUUGAUAAAUUUAUGAAUAUCAGUUGAAUUAAUCAAUUUUAUAUGGAAAAAUCUAAAUAAUCGAAUUCAAUAUUAUCGGCUUGAUAACUGUUGCGACUUUUUCUUUACUUUUUAAAUUUAUUUUAUUUAUAAAAAUAAAAAAAUUACAAUUACAAUUAUAAAAUUUCAUAAGUCUUAACCAUAUUUAAGUUAUAGAAAGUUAUUAUAUUUGCAUCUAACGACCUCGUGAUCUUAUUUUGUGAUCUUCAUACCAUAUUUUUUAUAUUUUCUAUGAUUCCUAAGUUGAGAAUCCUCAUAAUUGAUGUCCUAAGAAUACCGAAUCAAUAAAAAGACACCAUAUAUCAUUUUAGGAAGGACCAAAGGCACUCUUAAUGGUGAAUUCUAGGACAAAGUUUUGAGGGGUCUAGAAAAGUUUAAAAAAUUUGAGAAGUUUAAUGAGAAUUUUUUUAUAAAAAAAAUUGGGGUCUAAUUAAAUUUUUAAAUUUUUUUGUGAGAUUAAUGAGAAUUUUUAAAUAUUUUAAUUGUGUUUAAUUAAAAUUUUCAAAAUAAAUUAAAAGGUAUAAUGAGAACUUUUAAAAAUUUUUAAAGUUUGGGGUUCAAGAUUCAAGGUUAAGGUUGAGGAUUUGAGCUUUUAGGUUUCGAGAUUUAAGAUAAAAAAAUAUCAAAAUUAUGUAUCAAUAAUAUGUAAAAAAUUCUGAAAUAUCAUUAAACAAUUAAAAAGAAAUUAUGAAUAAUAUGGUGAAAAAAGUCUAUAAAAUAAUUAUAUUUUUGUCUUGGUAUAAUUAUAUAAUAUAUUUUUGAAACAAAAAUCAAUUGAGAUCAAGGAUGGAAUAGUAAAUAGAUUCCCAAUUUCCCCAACUCUCCUUUUUUGCAUUUAAGUGAUCCCUUUCAGCUAACAACUCCAAUCUUAUUUGUUUAGUUACCUCAUUUCCUUUGUAAGCAAAAAGUGAAAGAAAAUGAGGGCUGUUAAUAAGAGAGAAGAAGGUUUAAUCUAUCUAUCAUUAUUAUUUGUAAUGGCAAUAUUACUCUUCAACGCCAAAUGUUUCAGAGUUGCUGUGUUAGCGGAGAAGGCUUUCAGGGGUAGCCACUGUGGCGGUGACAGUGUAGGGCUGGACGAUGAUGACUACAGCAGCUUCAUCGGUGACGAUAUGGAGCUGGAGAUGUUGAUGGAUUCCUACAUCCGCCGAGUGCUCGACGGUAGCAACGGAAAUUCAAAAACUGAUCCCACUAAAAACGCUAAAAAAACUCCAAGUUGUGGCAAGGGUAAACCAUAUGGUCAGUGCAUGGAUGAUGACCAGAAUGUUGCUGACAAUUGCGGUUUAUACCACCGUACUUGCCAGGGAUCGUCAUAAUAUAAAAGGAAAGAAAGUAAGUUUGGUCAGUCUUUUUUAUUAUCUUGAGUCUCUUCCCCUCCCUUUUAAUCCUUUGAUCCAUUGUGGCUGCCGGUCAUCGUCCGGUUUUCUUUUUCUUUUUUUGCUUUUCUAUUUGUUUUCUUUGUUUCCGGCGGAAUAAAGUUUGGACCAUGCUGUCUCUCGUUAUUUCAUCUUGUGGGGGUUCCCCCUUCCCACUCAGAACAUCGGGCUUGGCCCUUAUGACUUCUAUCGGACAGCCACGAUCCUCAGUUUGCUGUGCACCGCUGUCACUUUGGUCCUCCGCUAGUGAUUCACCACACCAGCUUGUUCGAUUGGUGACUGAGGUCGCUUAGAUGACCGCGGAUUCCUCCUCCCUCGCCGGCUCCCUUCUUUCUCCAUGGUGCUUGACGGUGUAAUUAUGUACUAUUUUUCGCAGGAUGUGGUUUGAAUGUAAUUAUUUUAAAGCCUUCCGGGGGAAUAGAAAAGUUGAAAGCAAUUUUCUUGGAUUUUUUUUAUAAAACUAACCCAAAAAAUUUAAUUAAUUAUAUAAAUAAUCUAAUUUUUUAAUUAAACACGUAAAUGACCUAACAUUUAUAGUAAAAGUUGAUGGAGAUAAAAAGUUUUGCGCCACUAGCAUGUUACGUCAACAAUCAAGAUAAAAAAAAUCAAAUUUUUAGUUGAGCCGUGUAGAAUGGCGCUACUUAUACAAAUACUAGAGAAAUAUUAUAAUUUUUGAAAAAUAGAGAGACUUUAAAAUAAAUUUUCCCAAUUAUAUUAAAAUUUUAAAAUUAGUUAUACUCAACAUUUUCUUUAAUAUAUUUAAAUUUUAAUAUAUUUAAAUUUUUUAAGUUUUUAAAAAUUUUAAAUACAUUAAAAAAAUUUAUCUUUACCUAUUAAAAAUAUUUUAAAAUAUUGAAUAUAUUAAAAUUUUAAAAUUAGUUAUAUUUAACUUUUUUUAAUAUUUUUAAUUUUUUAAAAAUAAAUUAAAAUUUUAAAAUUAGUUAUACUUAACAAAUUUUAAUAUAUUUAAAAUUUUAAUAUAUUUAAUUUUUUUAAGUUUUUUAAAAUUUUAAAUAUAUUAAGAAAUUUUUUUUGUUUUUACCUAUUAAAAAUAUAUAUUAAGUAUAUUAAAAUUUUAAAUAUAUUAAACUUUUAAAAUUAAUUAUACUUAACUUUUUUUAAUAUAUUUAAAAUUUUAAAAAAUUUUAAAAAAAAUCACAUUGGAAACUGGUGAUCUCAAUUUAUUUGGCUUCACCAAAAAAUAGAAAUUUUUAUUAAAGUCCUUCUAUUUUUAAAAAAUUAUAGUAUUUUUUAAUAUUUAUACAAGUAACGUCAUUCUACAUGGCUCAACUAAAAAAAUUAUUUUUUAUCCCGGUUGUUAACUUGAAAUAUUGGUGGUGCCAAACUCUUUGGGUCCACUAAUUUUCACUUUAGAUUUUAGGUCAUUUACGUGUUUAAUAAAAAAUGAGUCAUUUAUAUAAUUAAUUAAAUUUUUUAGGUUAAUUUUAUAAAAAAUGACAUUUUUAAUUCUCCAUUUUCAUGGUUUAAAGUUUGUCGAAUUUUACUUUAAUUAAAAACAUUAUUUGCUAACAUGAUGACAUGUGUUUGAUGUUUGAAAAUGAUAAUUCCUAUAUCCACACUUUUGUCAUCUUCUUCUUUCUUUCAACUUAAAGUAUUAAACAAAGGGACCUCUCAACGAGAAACCCAAUUAACAAAAAAAACAUGUUUUUAUUAGGGUGAGUAUUUGAUCGAGUCAAGUUAAAUCGAGUUAAAAAAAAUUGAAUUAGUCGAGUUGGCGAAUACUAUUUUAGCAAUUGAACUCAAUUUAAAUUUUUUUGAAUCGAGUCAAAAAAUUUCGAGUCAAGUUGAGUCGUAUUAACGAAUCAUAUUAUUUAUACUUAAUGCUAUGUUUAUAUGGACUUAUUAUUUAACUAGUAGACAAAGUACAAGAUUAUUUAAUUACAUAAAUAAAAUAAUUAUUGUACUUUUUAACUUAAUGAGUAAAUAUUUAUCACAACAGCGUAAAAUGGUUUUGACUUUUAACUUUAGAAAAUGUAAGCAUUUAUCAAAAUGACAUAGUUUUACCUUUUCUUAUUUAGAUUUCCAGAUAACUUGAAUUGUAUAAUUCAUAUUUGACUUAAAUUGAAAAUUUUAAUUUUUUAUUUGAGUUGAUCCAAAUAACUUGAUUAACAUAAAUAACUUCAAAUUUUUUAAUUCAAAAUUUAAAAAUUUUAUUAAAUUUUUUGAAUCAAAUGGAAUUUUAUUCGCACUUAAUUAUCAUGUUAUCUUCCUUUCAUUAACUUUACCCCCACUUCCCUGCAAAUAGACAGACCCAAAGACGAGGAAAUCUUUCGCUUUAUUUUGUCUACAAUAUUUAUCUUCUUCCUUUCUUUCUUUUUUUUCUCAAACUAAACUCCCUUUAUAUAUUUAUUUACAACAUUCAAAUCAUUAAUAUUUGGACUUAAAAAAUUGUGUUUGUUAUUUAUUUUUUAUGAGAUAAUAUUUGAUGGAUACAUCUGUUUUCUGUAUCAUUAAUGAAAAAAAUAUUAAAAGAUUGAAAGAUUUCUUAAUCAUUACUUAAAAUUUUAUUUAAACAUAAUUAAAAUUAAUUAUAACUCUACCUCUAUAAUUUUCCCAUCUUCCUCCUCCUAUAUUAACAUAAAAAGAAAAUACUUUAGGGUUUAUUAAUUCUUAUAAUUAAAAUUUAUAUGAUUAAGGUUUGGGUUUAAAGUUAAAAAUUAACUAAAAUUCUAAAAAAAUUAUUAAAAUUUAUAUGAAAUUUUAAUAUAGUGGACAAUUCCUUUCUAUCAAAAAUACUUUUUUUUUCAAAGAAAAUCAUCAAUAAUAUGAAUAUUAGAAGUUUCUUUUUUAGUUAUUGCCCCAUCAAAUUUGACACUUUCAAUGAAUAAUAAUUAGCACUAUAUUUUAGAAUAUUACUUGUUCAAGCAACCAAUUAAAAGAUUUUAAACUUUAAAAAAAUUCACAAAUUUCUCAAAAUCCAUAAUCAUAUAAACUAAGUUUUAACAAGGUAAUAAAAUCAUACCUUCAAAUUUAUUCUGCUAAUAAAAUUAAAUCGCGCCAAUAGUAAUAAAGAACAAGAAAAAGAACUGUCUUCAUUCAAUCUAAGGUUUCUUUUCAAGAUUUUUAAAACUCUAAGUUAAAACUUUUGUAUUGUUAUUAAGAGAUGAAGAUGAUAAAUUAUAAUUACAUUUAAAUAAAAUUUUAAUCAUUUUUUAAUAUUUGACUCAUUAAUGAUGUGGGGAAUAGUGAUGCGUUGAUGGUGUAUAUAGUUUAUGCACCGACAAUGAAUUAAAUAUUAUCUUUUAUUAUAUAUAUAUAUAUUUUAAAUCUUAUGCUAUAUCCUACAUUCACUUGUAGACAUUCAAUCCUACUUGUGAAAUUUUUAAAUUUUACUAGCAGUGUAUAAAAUAUUAAUUUAUUUAAGUGAUUUUUACAUACUUGCAUAUUAUUUUAUACAAUUAAUAUUUUGCAAUUCAACAGAUAAUCAAUCUAAUUAUAUUUAUCAUAUGUAAAGUUUUGUCAAUCAAUAAUUGAGUGAAAAGAAGAAUGAGAUGCUUGACCUAAUUAUGAUAAUGUUAAUGGAUCAAAGAUAACAUUCACAAAAUUUCCCUUUCGGAGCUUUGGUAAGGGAUUGUAUAUUGCAAUGAAAAUCAAUGACAUAAUCUCAUGGAGCACCAAAAUUUAUUCAACCACCUUCAUACACAUGAGCGUAAUGUAAUCCACUGUGACUUGAAAUAUAGAACCCAAAGAAAAAAUUCCAUCAUUGGCCCUUUACUAUUUCCAACUAGAUUUCAUAUCGAUCCAUCGUUAAUCAGAUUUUGUUAAUCAUUUUUCAGCACUACAAGAUGGGUUUUUCCUUUUUACAUUGAAGCAGAAGCCAUUACAGUUUUAUGGUUUUUACCUGUACUCUUUACACCAUUUACAACAUUCACAAAGUCAAACAGGGAAUGCACAGGGAAUUAAGCCUAAAUGAAAGGGUUUCUCUUUCCCACUCUCACUUUACCAGUAUCUGCUUCGAUGUACAUUUCAAUGCCUCUUUGCUAAUGUCUUCAUUAGUCUCUUGAUAAUCUUUCCGAACCACAUUAAGUUCAUAACUGAUAGGACUAAAGGCACAAUGGAUAUUAACAACUGUCCCAAACUAUUAACCUGCUUAACCUGGUUUGAGGAGAAAAUGGCGGUUGGCUGUUAACAUAGAACCAAACUCAUAGAUUUUCAGAAUAAAAUAAAAAAUAAAAAAUUGAUUUUUAAAUGCCAAAUCCAUGUAAACGCAUAAAGAACAAAGCAUGGCUAAGGGUGUUAUAUCGAGAUUUACUAUCGUCAGUCGUGAAGUGAACUUAAGUUUUCUCAGCACUUCAAUAACAAAAUAGACCUAUGUUCUGAAGUUACAUAUGGUAUGCGUCAGCAGUUUAAUAGUUAGAAUUCAAAAUGUCUGGAAAAAUAAUUGAUGCUCGGAAAUAAUAAACACCUAUAGCUAAAACCAGAUAAGAGUUUUGCAGGAAUUUUACCGGAUCAUGGUGCAAGUAGAUAUGGUAAAAUAGAUACAUAAACAGGAGAAUUCUAGCAACCUGCCAAAAACAAAGUGUGCAACUUAUAUGUCUUAGCAACCUGCCAAAAACAAAGUGUGCAACUUAUAUGUCUUAUAACGAGAUCAUUUAGCAUCCUUGUUAGAUAUUCUACCACACUGGCUGGCAACAAUGUGCAUGAUCUCCAUAACCACAUACUUCUCUUAUGAAUACUUGUAAAAUUUCAUAUUUAAAUUGCAAUGUGAACACGUUAGGUAAUUAGUAGUUUGUCAUCUCCUUCUAACUUCGUUGUCUAAAUCAUUUUGAUUGAUUAACUAAUCUUUCGAUUUUAUAUUGUUCAAAAAACUCAAUUUAUCUUCUAUGUGUGUCGAUGUUCAAAAUUACAACUGCUGAUUUUAUUCCACAUUUUGCUGGCCAGGAUGUUGCAUUAGCAUCUGUUUCAAUGAGGCCGAUCCCAUAUUCGCACCAGUUUUGGAGAAGCUUUCACUUUCUGACAUGAAAUACGGAUCUGUGAGGCGUUUUUAUGUAGAAACUCCUGAAGAUAAUGCCAUACCAGUGGUGCUUCAAGAGAGCAUGAUUAACUCAAGCCCACCGGAAAAAGUAUUUCGUCUAAAAGGUGCUGACUACUCACCAUUUUUCUCAAAGCCUCAAGCCUUGCACAAACUAUUUGUAGAGAUCUCGAAACUCACUUCACCUUGAGAGAUUCUAAUUGUCGGAUGUUUCAUGGGAGUCCCCCACUAGGGCAUCAUUUGAUGAGGUAUAGGGAAGUUAUCCUCUCGAAUUUGAGUGAACAUGCAGAUGCACAUACACAUACCGUAAAAAUGGUCUUU